AUGCAAAGAACUUUGAAAAGAGAGUUAAAGAGUACCUGAAAUUGCUGAAAGGGAAGCGAAGGAAACCAGUGUUGGCUAUGUCAUAUUUCCCUGUCCGCUUGCGGUUCGGGCGCUGUGGCAUGCCUUUGUUGUUUUUGGUUGGGACCUUUGGAAGAGCGCAGUGAGAGUUGAUCUCUGUUGCUAGCACUGGUCUUGACUGAGGAGGACGAAAUGGUUUUCUUUACCCCGUCUUGAAACACGGACCAAGGAGUCUAACAUAUGUGCGAGUACAGGGGUGGCAAACCCCCGUGCGCAAUGAAAGUGACAGUGGUUGGACUUUUGCACAAUCCGCCGGCCUCAAUCCCUCGGGAGAACGGUCUGAGUGUGAGCAUACAUGUUGGGACCCGAAAGAUGGUGAACUAUGCCUGAAUAGGGUGAAGCCAGGGGAAACUCUGGUGGAGGCUCGUAGCGAUUCUGACGUGCAAAUCGAUCGUCAAAUUUGGGUAUAGGGGCGAAAGACUAAUCGAACCAUCUAGUAGCUGGUUCCCUCCGAAAUUUCCCUCAGGAUAGCUGCGAUCGGUGUUCAAUUUUAUCA
This 574-nucleotide ribosomal RNA is filed under the name Nitzschia sp. CCMP1500. RNAcentral's name for it is "eukaryotic LSU rRNA". It matches the Rfam family "Eukaryotic large subunit ribosomal RNA", at positions 364 to 1006 of the family's 3401-position model. Lineage: Eukaryota; Bacillariophyta; Bacillariophyceae; Bacillariales; Bacillariaceae. The record is from RNAcentral.